Molecule: ribosomal RNA, 488 nt
Filed under: uncultured bacterium
Lineage: Bacteria
Description: partial 16S ribosomal RNA
Rfam family: Bacterial small subunit ribosomal RNA
Source: RNAcentral
AGUGAACGCUGGCGGUAGGCCUAACACAUGCAAGUCGAACGGCAGCACAGUAAGAGCUUGCUCUUACGGGUGGCGAGUGGCGGACGGGUGAGGAAUACAUCGGAAUCUACUUUUUCGUGGGGGAUAACGUAGGGAAACUUACGCUAAUACCGCAUACGACCUACGGGUGAAAGCAGGGGAUCUUCGGACCUUGCGCGAUUGAAUGAGCCGAUGUCGGAUUAGCUAGUUGGCGGGGUAAAGGCCCACCAAGGCGACGAUCCGUAGCUGGUCUGAGAGGAUGAUCAGCCACACUGGAACUGAGACACGGUCCAGACUCCUACGGGAAGCAGCAGUGGGGAAUAUUGGACAAUGGGCGCAAGCCUGAUCCAGCCAUACCGCGUGGGUGAAGAAGGCCUUCGGGUUGUAAAGCCCUUUUGUUGGGAAAGAAAAGCAGCAGGUUAAUACCCCGCUGUUCUGACGGUACCCAAAGAAUAAGCACCGGCUAACUU